This 467-nucleotide ribosomal RNA is filed under the name uncultured bacterium. Its description in RNAcentral is "partial 16S ribosomal RNA". It matches the Rfam family "Bacterial small subunit ribosomal RNA", at positions 28 to 507 of the family's 1533-position model. The record is from RNAcentral.
GACGAACGCUGGCGGCGUGCUUAACACAUGCAAGUCGAACGGAAAGGCCCUGCUUUUGUGGGGUGCUCGAGGGGCAAACGGGUGAGUAACACGUGAGUAACCUGCCCUUGACUUUGGUAACAUUUCGGAACACGGGGGCAAACCCGGUAGGGGCUCCCGCUGCACAGGGGGGGGUUGGAAAUUUUGGGGGGUUGGGGUGGGAUCCCGGGCUUAUCCGCUUGUUGGGGGGGUUGGGGCUUACCAAGGCUUUGGCGGGGUACCGGCCGGGGGGGGGGACCGGCAACAUGGGGACUGGGAUACGGCCCAGACCCCUACGGGAGGCAGAAGUGGGGAUUAUUGCACAAUGGGCGGAAGCCGGAUGCAGCAACGCCGCGUGCGGGAUGACGGCCUUCGGGUGGUAAACCGCUUUCGCCUGUGACGAAGUGUGAGUGACGGUAAUGGGUAAAGAAGCACCGGCUAACUACGUG